This 806-nucleotide long non-coding RNA is filed under the name Homo sapiens (human). RNAcentral's name for it is "non-protein coding lnc-MED30-3:1". The record is from RNAcentral. Lineage: Eukaryota; Metazoa; Chordata; Mammalia; Primates; Hominidae.
GGCGCGGCGUUGGGGGCGUAGGGGGCGCAGGGAGCCGGGGCUCCCGGGUUGCAAGCUGCCGGCGGGCUGCCGGGCAGGUGGAGCGCGGGACGGCCCGGUGCGAGCCCCGCGGCCCCUCGGCGCGCCCAGGCCCGGAUCUCGGCCUGCGCCGUGCCGGGGACCAGAGGCGCCUGCGGAAACGCGGCGGCCGGGGAAGGAGGCACCGGCAGGGGCCCCGUGCCGCGCGGCCCCGGGCGCCCUGGAGAAUCUGGCCUCCUGGGCUGCCUGCCGGAACGCCUAGAGAAAGAUGCUUUGAAGGAGGGAAGCAGGGAGGAAAGGAAGACUUCAUAGAAAGCGACCGCCGAUCCGAAAGCUGCCUCUCCCAGCCCUCCUUCCACUCUCCGAGACCCAGUAUUUCAAUUUUCUGCUAAGCAUUAAAACAAUCUCCCCUUACUCCUCCUCUACAUAGCACAUUUUUUUAAACCAAAGAAACACCCCAAUGCCCAACAAUAAAGAGGAAUUAUUACAAUCAAGAGGAAUUGUUGCAAUUCUUCAUGCCUGCCUCUGUGCUAAGAGUGUAAGACGGCUAUCCUAAAUCCUCAUUAUCUACUUAGGCCGCCUUGCCUGAGCCCCCUCUGUCUAUUAUGAAGAAAGCUUCCAAGAGAUCCAAUCACAGAGAAAAAAUAAAUUUUCUAAUGGCUGCAGGGAAACCAGUUAAUUUAAGCUUGCCCCAGUCCUCAAAGUGAUGUUAUUCUCUUGGUGGUGGUGGUGGUGGUGGUGGUGUUAAAGAUAUCUCUUAAGGACAUAUGACUGGUAGAAUUGCCAAC